UAGCUACUUUCAGAUCUGUAAUGCAGUCGACGAUGAUGGGAGCUUGCUCCUGGAUUAGUGGCGAACGGGUGAGUAACACGUGAGUAACCUGCCCUUAACUCUGGGAUAAGCCUGGGAAACUGGGUCUAAUACCGGAUAUGACUCCUCAUCGCAUGGUGGGGGGUGGAAAGCUUUUUGUGGUUUUGGAUGGACUCGCGGCCUAUCAGCUUGUUGGUGAGGUAAUGGCUUACCAAGGCGACGACGGGUAGCCGGCCUGAGAGGGUGACCGGCCACACUGGGACUGAGACACGGCCCAGACUCCUACGGGAGGCAGCAGUGGGGAAUAUUGCACAAUGGGCGCAAGCCUGAUGCAGCGACGCCGCGUGAGGGAUGACGGCCUUCGGGUUGUAAACCUCUUUCAGUAGGGAAGAAGCGAAAGUGACGGUACCUGCAGAAGAAGCGCCGGCUAACUACGUGCCAGCAGCCGCGGUAAUACGUAGGGCGCAAGCGUUAUCCGGAAUUAUUGGGCGUAAAGAGCUCGUAGGCGGUUUGUCGCGUCUGCCGUGAAAGUCCGGGGCUCAACUCCGGAUCUGCGGUGGGUACGGGCAGACUAGAGUGAUGUAGGGGAGACUGGAAUUCCUGGUGUAGCGGUGAAAUGCGCAGAUAUCAAGAGGAACACCGAUGGCGAAGGCAGGUCUCUGGGCAUUAACUGACGCUGAGGAGCGAAAGCAUGGGGAGCGAACAGGAUUAGAUACCCUGGUAGUCCAUGCCGUAAACGUUGGGCACUAGGUGUGGGGGACAUUCCACGUUUUCCGCGCCGU
RNAcentral lists this ribosomal RNA (800 nucleotides) under Arthrobacter sp. JSM 2215004. RNAcentral's name for it is "bacterial SSU rRNA". It matches the Rfam family "Bacterial small subunit ribosomal RNA", at positions 37 to 849 of the family's 1533-position model. The record is from RNAcentral. Lineage: Bacteria; Bacillati; Actinomycetota; Actinomycetes; Micrococcales; Micrococcaceae.